Long non-coding RNA from Labrus mixtus (cuckoo wrasse), 586 nucleotides. RefSeq lists it as uncharacterized. The transcript is spliced from 2 exons. The record is from RefSeq and is a predicted model, not a curated record. Lineage: Eukaryota; Metazoa; Chordata; Actinopteri; Labriformes; Labridae.
UUUGUGUUCACGUCAGUGUCUGUGUCCGACAUGACAGGAGAGGCAGGAGGUCUUUUUUUCUCUCUUACUUUUCCUGCCAUAAAGAAGAUGUAGUGCUGCAGUGUGACAGGCAGCUAUUGUUGUUCAACCCAUGUGUCCCUUUAGAUGUAUUUCACCACUGAGGGCACUUAUUGUGCUCCAACUGACCGUUUUACAGGAUAUACUGUCACAGAAAUAGUCCAGGGGCGCUGGUUUAGCUCAGUUGGUAGAGCAGGCACCCCACAUAUAGAGGCUUAAGUUCUUGUUGCACUGGCCCUGGUUAGACUCUUGAUGCUGCCUGUCAUCCCAUAUUUCCUGGUCUCCUAUAUAUUUCCUAUCAAACAAAGUCUAAAAAAGCCCAAAAAUGAUCUUAAAAAAAAAGAAUACUCUGGCCAAUAUCUAUUUUUCGGGGUAUUUUAAUCAUUGUCUCUUUGAGUAACUGCAAUUGUGAAAUAUUCAGAUCGCAUCAAAAUCAUGUUGAAAGCAUUCCAAAUCACUCAUGCAUCAUAGGCCUCAAGCAGAGGUUUGUCCAAAAUACCCGGAAUGAAUGAAAACAAUUGUGUCCAUC